Molecule: non-coding RNA, 778 nt
Organism: Podarcis muralis (Common wall lizard)
Lineage: Eukaryota; Metazoa; Chordata; Lepidosauria; Squamata; Lacertidae
Source: RefSeq, a predicted model, not a curated record
GGCAGGAUGAGACCCUCCCUGCCCACAGACUGUCUCACCAGUGAGAUAUGCUCUGGUUAUCUCCCGCUUGGACUACUGCCAUGCGCUCUCCUGGGGCUGCCUAGGAGGAACUGUGAAUGAAGGAUUGUAAUAAGAAAAGCUGCAGAAGGGAAGGAGGGAAGUCAGCGGCUCUACGGAGCAUAUAAAAGCUGUUUUGUCUCCCGCUGAACCACUGUGAUUUCAACAGCAUAAUGCAGAACUACAUGUUUCCAUGAGUCAAGAAGUUCUGAAGGUUUAAACAUUUUCUUGGAUUCUCCACCACCACCUUUCUCCCAACAAGCUCAAGUCAACAUGCAUGGAUCUGUCCUCUCGAUUUUAUCUUCACAGUACCCUUGUGGGGUAGUUUAGUUGUAGUGUUACGUCCCAUAGGUCCCUCCAGUUCAUUUGCAUUCAACACCCUUGUCGGUUUCCUUCCCUCCACUGCUAGCUCCUUGCCGAUUUCUUAUUCACAAACCUGUUAACAAUCUAAGUAAAAGCUGCCAGAAAUCCAAAUUGCCUUAACAGUGUAAGCAAACACGUUCACCGCCUCCGCCCCCUCGAAUUUAAAUGGCUUUUUUUCAGUGUCCCAGAGCACCUAAAAGACUAAUGUAGGGAAAACAUCAUUCUCACCCAACACAGCAGCCACCUUUACCAAUAUUUUUGUACAGGUUAGGGAUGGCUGUUCUCCACGUUAAACCAAGGUCAUUAUAAGCAAUGGACAUGAGCGUUAGCCCUUGGAUUCCAGGCGAUGUUUCAUAGC